UAGGGAAUAUUGCACAAUGGGGGAAACCCUGAUGCAGCGACGCCGCGUGAGUGAUGAAGGCCUUCGGGUCGUAAAGCUCUGUCGUAUGGGACUAACAAAAUGAAGGUACCAUGCAAGAAAGGAUCGGCUAACUUCGUGCUAGCAGCCGCGGUAAGACGAGGGAUCCUAGCGUUGUUCGGAAUCAUUGGGCGUAAAGCGGGUGUAGGCGGACUUAUAAGUCAGGUGUGAAAUCCCAGGGCUCAACCCUGGAAGUGCACUUGAUACUGCAAGUCUUGAGUGUGGUAGAGGCUAUUAGAAUUCCUGGUGUAGUGGUGAAAUACGUAGAUAUCAGGAGGAAUACCGGAGGCGAAGGCGAUUCUCUGGUCCGCUCCUGACACUGAGGCGCGAAAGCUAGGGGAGCAAACAGGAUUAGAUACCCCCGUAGUCCCUGAGCGGGCUGGCAAGGCGCAU
RNAcentral lists this ribosomal RNA (450 nucleotides) under uncultured bacterium. RNAcentral describes it as "bacterial SSU rRNA". It matches the Rfam family "Bacterial small subunit ribosomal RNA", at positions 355 to 825 of the family's 1533-position model. The record is from RNAcentral.